Molecule: ribosomal RNA, 412 nt
Filed under: Vibrio cholerae
Lineage: Bacteria; Pseudomonadati; Pseudomonadota; Gammaproteobacteria; Vibrionales; Vibrionaceae
Description: partial 23S ribosomal RNA
Rfam family: Bacterial large subunit ribosomal RNA
Source: RNAcentral
GAACCGACUAAUGUUGAAAAAUUAGCGGAUGACUUGUGGCUAGGGGUGAAAGGCCAAUCAAACUCGGAGAUAGCUGGUUCUCCCCGAAAGCUAUUUAGGUAGCGCCUCGGACGAAUACUACUGGGGGUAGAGCACUGUUAAGGCUAGGGGGUCAUCCCGACUUACCAACCCUUUGCAAACUCCGAAUACCAGUAAGUACUAUCCGGGAGACACACGGCGGGUGCUAACGUCCGUCGUGGAGAGGGAAACAACCCAGACCGCCAGCUAAGGUCCCAAAGUAUUGCUAAGUGGGAAACGAUGUGGGAAGGCUCAGACAGCUAGGAUGUUGGCUUAGAAGCAGCCAUCAUUUAAAGAAAGCGUAAUAGCUCACUAGUCGAGUCGGCCUGCGCGGAAGAUGUAACGGGGCUAAGCA